Molecule: transfer RNA, 77 nt
Filed under: Gammaproteobacteria bacterium
Lineage: Bacteria; Pseudomonadati; Pseudomonadota; Gammaproteobacteria
Description: tRNA-Pro
Rfam family: tRNA
About the family: Transfer RNA (tRNA) molecules are approximately 80 nucleotides in length. Their secondary structure includes four short double-helical elements and three loops (D, anti-codon, and T loops).
Source: RNAcentral
CGGGGUAUGGCGCAGUGUGGUAGCGCAUCUGCUUUGGGAGCAGAGGGUCGGGGGUUCAAAUCCCUCUGCCCCGACCA